AAAGGGAGACCUAAUUCAGGUAGGAGACGAAAAAAAAGUAGUCCCUACCAAGAAUCAAUCCCAAAAGGUCGGAGCGAGGCAAAAUUGGCUUUCAAACUAGGUUCUGGGUUCACACAAGACCUGAAUCAGGAACAAGGGCUAUUAGCUCAGGUGGUUAGAGCGCACCCCUGAUAAGGGUGAGGUCCCUGGUUCGAGUCCAGGAUGGCCCACCUGUACAGGUGGCAAAAACAAAGAAAAGAAGCUCCGAAUCAGCACCUUAUCUUACUUAUAUAGUAAGAGAGAAUGCUGGCUCUGAGUAAAGAGUCCAGAGGAACCUUGAAAACUGCAUAGAGCUAGGUGAAAAAGCCAAAAAAGAAGACCGCAAG
RNAcentral lists this transfer RNA (365 nucleotides) under uncultured Microcystis sp. Its description in RNAcentral is "partial 16S-23S ribosomal RNA intergenic spacer". The stretch from base 136 to 209 matches the Rfam family "tRNA". The record is from RNAcentral. Lineage: Bacteria; Bacillati; Cyanobacteriota; Cyanophyceae; Chroococcales; Microcystaceae.